CGGACGGGUGAGUAACGCGUGGAGAACCUGCCGUACACUGGGGGAUAACACUUAGAAAUAGGUGCUAAUACCGCAUAAGCGCACAGCUUCGCAUGAAGCAGUGUGAAAAACUCCGGUGGUAUACGAUGGAUCCGCGUCUGAUUAGCUGGUUGGCGGGGUAAAGGCCCACCAAGGCGACGAUCAGUAGCCGGCCUGAGAGGGUGAACGGCCACAUUGGGACUGAGACACGGCCCAAACUCCUACGGGAGGCAGCAG
RNAcentral lists this ribosomal RNA (255 nucleotides) under uncultured bacterium. RNAcentral describes it as "partial 16S ribosomal RNA". It matches the Rfam family "Bacterial small subunit ribosomal RNA", at positions 99 to 354 of the family's 1533-position model. The record is from RNAcentral.